ACUCAAAGGAAUUGACGGGGGCCCGCACAAGCAGUGGAGCAUGUGGUUCAAUUCGAUGCAACGCGAAGAACCUUACCUGGGUUUGAAAAGCUCUGUAAACCGGUGAAAGCCGGCUAGUGUAGCAAUACACGCGGAGUACAGGUGCUGCAUGGCUGUCGUCAGCUCGUGCCGUGAGGUGUUAGGUUAAGUCCUGCAACGAGCGCAACCCCUGCACUUAGUUGCCAUCAGGUCAAGCUGGGCACUCUAAGUGGACUGCCUGCGCAAGCAGCGAGGAAGGUGGGGAUGACGUCAAGUCCUCAUGGCCCUUACACCCAGGGCCACACACGUGCUACAAUGGCCGCUACAACGGGCAGCGAAAGAGUAAUCUCAAGCUAAUCCCUGAAAAGCGGUCUCAGUUCGGAUUGAGGGCUGCAACUCGCCCUCAUGAAGCUGGAAUUGCUAGUAAUCGCGGAUCAGCACGCCGCGGUGAAUACGUUCCCGGGCCUUGUACACACCGCCCGU
This 501-nucleotide ribosomal RNA is filed under the name uncultured bacterium. Its description in RNAcentral is "partial 16S ribosomal RNA". It matches the Rfam family "Bacterial small subunit ribosomal RNA", at positions 899 to 1397 of the family's 1533-position model. The record is from RNAcentral.